Molecule: ribosomal RNA, 253 nt
Filed under: uncultured bacterium
Lineage: Bacteria
Description: partial 16S ribosomal RNA
Rfam family: Bacterial small subunit ribosomal RNA
Source: RNAcentral
UACGUAGGGUGCGAGCGUUAAUCGGAAUUACUGGGCGUAAAGCGUGCGCAGGCGGUGAUGUAAGACAGAUGUGAAAUCCCCGGGCUCAACCUGGGAACUGCCUUUGUGACUGCAAGGCUUGAGUGCGGCAGAGGGGGAUGGAAUUCCGCGUGUAGCAGUGAAAUGCGUAGAUAUGCGGAGGAACACCGAUGGCGAAGGCAAUCCCCUGGGCCUGCACUGACGCUCAUGCACGAAAGCGUGGGGAGCAAACAGG